RNAcentral lists this ribosomal RNA (425 nucleotides) under uncultured bacterium. RNAcentral's name for it is "partial 16S ribosomal RNA". It matches the Rfam family "Bacterial small subunit ribosomal RNA", at positions 354 to 796 of the family's 1533-position model. The record is from RNAcentral.
GUGGGGAAUCUUGCGCAAUGGGCGAAAGCCUGACGCAGCCAUGUCGCGUGAAUGAUGAAGGUCUUAGGAUUGUAAAAUUCUUUCACCGGGGACGAUAAUGACGGUACCCGGAGAAGAAGCCCCGGCUAACUUCGUGCCAGCAGCCGCGGUAAUACGAAGGGGGCUAGCGUUGCUCGGAAUUACUGGGCGUAAAGGGCGCGUAGGCGGACAGUUUAGUCAGAGGUGAGAGCCCAGGGCUCAACCUUGGAAUUGCCGUUGAUACUGGCUGUCUUGAGUACGGGAGAGGUGAGUGGAACACCGAGUGUAGAGGUGAAAGUCGUAGAUAUUCGGAAGAACACCAGUGGCGAAGGCGACUCACUGGCGCGUUACUGACGCUGAGGCGCGAAAGCGUGGGGAGCAAACAGGAUUAGAUACCCGAGUAGUCC